AAUGGGUUUUUGUUUAUCUGUAUUUUAUUCAGAGUUCCUUGGUUUGACUGGUGUCCUUUUCCUGUUCCAGGCAUCCAUCCAGGAUACUACAUUAUGUUUAGUCAUUGUGUGUUCUUAGGCUCCUCUUGGCUGUACUAGUUUCUUAGAAUUUCCUCGUUUUUGAUUGUCUGGACAUGAUGAUCUUGACAGUUUUGAGGAGAAGUGGUCAGGUAUUUUGUAGAAUGUCCCUCAUAUGAUAAAAAUUUUUUUAGUUCUUUAUGCAUUUCUUGCCCCCACUAACACAAAAUAGACUGUGAAAGUGCCACUAUUAAAGAUACAUUAAAGUAUGAGAGAAAGAUAAAUUCUUAUAAGAAUCUGGGAAGGCUUUUCAUCACAAGUAAUAUUGUCCAUGAAGUAAUUAGUUGUGUUUGUGGUAGGAUAGGGGGUGUCACAUGAAAAUCAAGAGUGCAGGUCAUGUUCUAGUAACAGACUAAUAGAAUUGCAAUGUGAUGCGAGUAAGGUGCAAUUAGAAGUAACAGUGUAAAGUUUGGCAGGGGCCUGAGAGCUUUUUUCCCUCCUGACACCAAAUAAAUGGUAUCUUUUCCAACAACA
Molecule: long non-coding RNA, 591 nt
Filed under: Pan troglodytes (chimpanzee)
Lineage: Eukaryota; Metazoa; Chordata; Mammalia; Primates; Hominidae
Description: lincRNA
Source: RNAcentral